Molecule: long non-coding RNA, 459 nt
Organism: Perca flavescens (yellow perch)
Lineage: Eukaryota; Metazoa; Chordata; Actinopteri; Perciformes; Percidae
Exons: 2
Source: RefSeq, a predicted model, not a curated record
CAAUGCUGGAUGAUGGCCAGACUUCAGCAAGAAGACCUGAAUACAAGACACCAUGUUGAACCACGAGACAUCUGAAUUAAAGAUGGGCCCAUAACACACCAUCGCUCAUUGUCCCCAAACAGCUCCGCCACCUGCAGAGAUUCUCUAAGUCAUUCGCUCUCUCUAACAAGAACGUGGACGAACACACAAGAUACACAAAAAAGUUGAGAUCUCGUAAUUUAGACUGAGGAUGCUGAUUGUGUUUUUAAAUCUGUGUGGGAAAGUGAUACAUGUUUUUUAUGUUUGGCAUAAUGGAACUUGAACUUCACACUCACUGUAGACAUGCAGUCUGGUGUUUUCUGAAACAUUAUGUUUAAAUAUGCAAACUAGGCAUUAUCUAAUGAUCAUUGGUGGUGAAUUUAGGAGAAAUCUACACAAACAAACAGACAAAGUUUAAUGAAAUAAACCCCUAAAUGUGUA